RNAcentral lists this ribosomal RNA (522 nucleotides) under Triticum aestivum (bread wheat). Its description in RNAcentral is "partial small subunit ribosomal RNA". Lineage: Eukaryota; Viridiplantae; Streptophyta; Magnoliopsida; Poales; Poaceae. The record is from RNAcentral.
AUGUGUCAUGUUCAUGCACCAAAGAGUUGUUCGUCGUGCUGGGAGACCUUUGAUCCGCUAUGGUCCAUUGUUACCCCGGGAACAGGAGAGGAUCCAAAUCUGAACUGCAUCUACAACUGCAACGACGUCGAGGCUCUCUGGAUGCUUAGAAUGAAAAGAGCACCAUUUGCCAGGCUUGUCGAGACCUUCAGGAGCAGGGGCCUGUUACAAGAUAGCAUCAACACCAGUGUUGAAGAGCAAGUGGUCAUGUUCCUCCAUGCUGUUGGCCAUAACCAGAGGUUCAAGGUCAUUCACAACACGUUCAGGAGAUCAAUGGAGACCAUCUCUAGGUACUUAAAGCAGGUGCUUUUUGCUGUUGGGGAGCUUAGAGGAGAGAUGAUUAGGAGACCAUAUGGCCAGACUCCAUCCAAGAUUCGCGGAAGCCUAAGAUGGUAUCCAUACUUCAAGGUGAGCAUUGACAAUAUACACUUUUCAUGGCUUGAUAUGCUUGUAUUGUUCAAGUUGAGCACUAACACAAGCUAG